RNAcentral lists this ribosomal RNA (1387 nucleotides) under human gut metagenome. Its description in RNAcentral is "bacterial LSU rRNA". It matches the Rfam family "Bacterial large subunit ribosomal RNA", at positions 1250 to 2619 of the family's 2925-position model. The record is from RNAcentral.
GCGAAGCCGAGGGACGACCCUCGGUGGAGCGCCCGGGAGUGAGAAUGCUGGCAUGAGUAGCGAGAGACGAGAGAGUAACUCGUCCGCCGUGAACCCGAGGUUUCCUGGGCAAGGCUAAUCCUCCCAGGGUCAGUCGGGGGCUAAGGCGAGGCCGGUAGGCGUAGCCGACGCGCAGCAGGCAGACAUUCCUGCACCGCGCACGCGGCGCUACGACCGACGGGGCGACGGAUGGGGGUGGCUCGGCGGGGUUCUGGACGUCCCCGUGAUGGAGCGCGGCCCGCGGACCAGGGAAAUCCGGUCCGCACGAGGGCGAGGCUCCGGACGAAGCACUUAAGCGAAGCGAGUGAGCCCGAGGUCCCUAGAAAAACCCCUAGGCAGGCGCGUGCGCGCCCGUACCGCAAACCGACACAGGUGGGUGGGUAGAACAUACCGAGGCGAUCGGGUCAACCAUGGUCAAGGAACUCGGCACAAUGGCCCCGUAACUUCGGGAGAAGGGGUGCCCGCGCGUACGUGAACGGACUUGCUCCGGGAGCGGAGGCGGGCCGCAGUGGAGAGGCCCAAGCGACUGUUUACCAAAAACACAGGACUCUGCAGAAGCCGCAAGGCGACGUAUAGGGUCUGACGCCUGCCCGGUGCCGGAAGGUCACGGGGAUCCGUUAGCCUUUGGCGAAGCGGUGAACCCAAGCCCCGGUAAACGGCGGCCGUAACUAUAACGGUCCUAAGGUAGCGAAAUUCCUUGUCGGGUAAGUUCCGACCCGCACGAAAGGCGUAAUGAUUUGAGCACUGUCUCGACAAUGCAUCCGGUGAAAUUGAAGUACCAGUGAAGAUGCUGGUUACCCGCGCCAGGACGGAAAGACCCCAUGGAGCUUUACUCCAGUUUGAUACUGGGAUUCGGUACUGCAUGUACAGGAUAGGUGGGAGACGAAGAAGGAUGGACGCCAGUCUGUCCGGAGUCGCUGUUGGGAUACCACCCCUGUAGUACUGGGUUUCUAACCAGUUGCCAUGAACUGGCAAUGGGACAAUGUCAGGCGGGGAGUUUGACUGGGGCGGUCGCCUCCGAAAGGGUAUCGGAGGCGCUCAAAGGUUCCCUCAGAAUGGUUGGAAACCAUUCGAAGAGUGCAAAGGCAGAAGGGAGCUUGACUGCGACACCGACGGGUGGAGCAGGUACGAAAGUAGGACUUAGUGAUCCGGUGGUAUAAAGUGGGAUUGCCAUCGCUCAACGGAUAAAAGCUACCCUGGGGAUAACAGGCUUAUCACUCCCAAGAGUUCACAUCGACGGAGUGGUUUGGCACCUCGAUGUCGGCUCAUCGCAUCCUGGGGCUGUAGCAGGUCCCAAGGGUUGGGCUGUUCGCCCAUUAAAGCGGUACGCGAGCUGGGUUCAGAACGU